This 492-nucleotide ribosomal RNA is filed under the name uncultured bacterium. RNAcentral's name for it is "partial 16S ribosomal RNA". It matches the Rfam family "Bacterial small subunit ribosomal RNA", at positions 29 to 507 of the family's 1533-position model. The record is from RNAcentral.
AGUGAACGCUGGCGGUAGGCCUAACACAUGCAAGUCGAACGGCAGCACAGUAAGAGCUUGCUCUUACGGGUGGCGAGUGGCGGACGGGUGAGGAAUACAUCGGAAUCUACUUUUUCGUGGGGGAUAACGUAGGGAAACUUACGCUAAUACCGCAUACGACCUACGGGUGAAAGCAGGGGAUCUUCGGACCUUGCGCGAUUGAAUGAGCCGAUGUCGGAUUAGCUAGUUGGCGGGGUAAAGGCCCACCAAGGCGACGAUCCGUAGCUGGUCAGAGAGGAUGAUCAGCCACACUGGAACUGAGACACGGUCCAGACUCCUACGGGAGGCAGCAGUGGGGAAUAUUGGACAAUGGGCGCAAGCCUGAUCCAGCCAUACCGCGUGGGUGAAGAAGGCCUUCGGGUUGUAAAGCCCUUUUGUUGGGAAAGAAAAGCAGCGGGUUAAUACCCCGCUGUUCUGACGGUACCCAAAGAAUAAGCACCGGCUAACUUCGUG